RNAcentral lists this ribosomal RNA (395 nucleotides) under uncultured bacterium. RNAcentral describes it as "bacterial SSU rRNA". It matches the Rfam family "Bacterial small subunit ribosomal RNA", at positions 771 to 1159 of the family's 1533-position model. The record is from RNAcentral.
ACCUAAUAGAUACCCUGGUAGUCCACGCCCUAAACGAUGCGAACUGGAUGUUGGGUACAUUACGGUACUCAGUGUCGAAAGCUAAACGCGUUAAGUUCGCCGCCUGGGGAGUACGGUCGCAAGACUGAAACUCAAAGGAAUUGACGGGGGCCCGGCCACAAGCGGUGGAGUAUGUGGUUUAAUUCGAUGCAACGCGAAGAACCUUACCCUGGCCUUGACAUCUGUCGAAUCCUGCAGAGAUGCGGGAGUGCCGCAAGGAACGACAAGACAGGUGCUGCAUGGCUGUCGUCAGCUCGUGUCGUGAGAUGUUGGGUUUAAGUUCCCGCAACGAGCGCAACCCUUGUCCCUAGUUGCCAGCACAUCAUGGUGGGAACUCUAGGGAGACUGCCGGUGAC